Pelobates cultripes (western spadefoot toad) is the source of this 204-nucleotide non-coding RNA. Lineage: Eukaryota; Metazoa; Chordata; Amphibia; Anura; Pelobatidae. The record is from the annotation of a GenBank genome assembly.
CCCAAGGUAGAGACCAUCGCCAUCUUAAAUCACAGUAACAAAAAGACAUUAAAAUACAUAACUACAGAAAUACCGAAUGCAUAUGGUUCGUGUAAUGUAUCCCCAGACAGCCUGGAUCUGAGGGCAUGUUUUCACCGAAUAGCGCUCAGAUCCGAUGUAUCCAGUCGAAUCGCCAUGGAGUCAAAGUCCUGCACCAGUCCUUCG